UACGUAGGGUGCGAGCGUUGUCCGGAAUUACUGGGCGUAAAGAGCUCGUAGGUGGUUUGUCGCGUCGUCUGUGAAAUUCCGGGGCUUAACCUCGGGCGUGCAGGCGAUACGGGCAAUACUUGAGUGCUGUAGGGGAGACUGGAAUUCCUGGUGUAGCGGUGAAAUGCGCAGAUAUCAGGAGGAACACCGAUGGCGAAGGCAGGUCUCUGGGCAGUAACUGACGCUGAGGCACGAAAGCGUGGGGAGCAAACAGGAUUAGAUACCCG
This 266-nucleotide ribosomal RNA is filed under the name uncultured prokaryote. RNAcentral's name for it is "partial 16S ribosomal RNA". It matches the Rfam family "Bacterial small subunit ribosomal RNA", at positions 524 to 788 of the family's 1533-position model. The record is from RNAcentral.